Molecule: ribosomal RNA, 804 nt
Filed under: uncultured bacterium
Lineage: Bacteria
Description: bacterial SSU rRNA
Rfam family: Bacterial small subunit ribosomal RNA
Source: RNAcentral
AGCGAAUGGAUUAAGAGCUUGCUCUUAUGAAGUUAGCGGCGGACGCCUGAGUAACACGUGGGUAACCUGCCCAUAAGACUGGGAUAACUCCGGGAAACCGGGGCUAAUACCGGAUAACAUUUUGAACUGCAUGGUUCGAAAUUGAAAGGCGGCUUCGGCUGUCACUUAUGGAUGGACCCGCGUCGCAUUAGCUAGUUGGUGAGGUAACGGCUCACCAAGGCAACGAUGCGUAGCCGACCUGAGAGGGUGAUCGGCCACACUGGGACUGAGACACGGCCCAGGCUCCUACGGGAGGCAGCAGUAGGGAAUCUUCCGCAAUGGACGAAAGUCUGACGGAGCAACGCCGCGUGAGUGAUGAAGGCUUUCGGGUCGUAAAACUCUGUUGUUAGGGAAGAACAAGUGCUAGUUGAAUAAGCUGGCACCUUGACGGUACCUAACCAGAAAGCCACGGCUAACUACGUGCCAGCAGCCGCGGUAAUACGUAGGUGGCAAGCGUUAUCCGGAAUUAUUGGGCGUAAAGCGCGCGCAGGUGGUUUCUUAAGUCUGAUGUGAAAGCCCACGGCUCAACCGUGGAGGGUCAUUGGAAACUGGGAGACUUGAGUGCAGAAGAGGAAAGUGGAAUUCCAUGUGUAGCGGUGAAAUGCGUAGAGAUAUGGAGGAACACCAGUGGCGAAGGCGACUUUCUGGUCUGUAACUGACACUGAGGCGCGAAAGCGUGGGGAGCAAACAGGAUUAGAUACCCUGGUAGUCCACGCCGUAAACGAUGAGUGCUAAGUGUUAGAGGGUUUCCGCCCUUUAGUGCUG